RNAcentral lists this ribosomal RNA (253 nucleotides) under uncultured bacterium. RNAcentral describes it as "partial 16S ribosomal RNA". It matches the Rfam family "Bacterial small subunit ribosomal RNA", at positions 524 to 776 of the family's 1533-position model. The record is from RNAcentral.
UACGUAGGGGGCAAGCGUUAUCCGGAUUUACUGGGUGUAAAGGGGGCGCAGACGGCGAUGCAAGCCAGGAGUGAAAGCCCGGGGCCCAACCCCGGGACUGCUCUUGGAACUGCGUGGCUGGAGUGCAGGAGGGGCAGGCGGAAUUCCUGGUGUAGCGGUGAAAUGCGUAGAUAUCAGGAGGAACACCGGUGGCGAAGGCGGCCUGCUGGACUGCAACUGACGCUGAGGCGCGAAAGCGUGGGGAGCAAACAGG